RNAcentral lists this ribosomal RNA (465 nucleotides) under Vreelandella stevensii. Its description in RNAcentral is "partial 16S ribosomal RNA". It matches the Rfam family "Bacterial small subunit ribosomal RNA", at positions 338 to 795 of the family's 1533-position model. Lineage: Bacteria; Pseudomonadati; Pseudomonadota; Gammaproteobacteria; Oceanospirillales; Halomonadaceae. The record is from RNAcentral.
CCUACGGGAGGCAGCAGUGGGGAAUAUUGGACAAUGGGGGCAACCCUGAUCCAGCCAUGCCGCGUGUGUGAAGAAGGCCCUCGGGUUGUAAAGCACUUUCAGUGAGGAAGAACGCCUGAUGGUUAAUACCCAUCAGGAAAGACAUCACUCACAGAAGAAGCACCGGCUAACUCCGUGCCAGCAGCCGCGGUAAUACGGAGGGUGCGAGCGUUAAUCGGAAUUACUGGGCGUAAAGCGCGCGUAGGUGGCUUGAUAAGCCGGUUGUGAAAGCCCCGGGCUCAACCUGGGAACGGCAUCCGGAACUGGCAAGCUAGAGUGCAGGAGAGGAAGGUAGAAUUCCCGGUGUAGCGGUGAAAUGCGUAGAGAUCUGGAGGAAUACCAGUGGCGAAGGCGGCCUUCUGGACUGACACUGACACUGAGGUGCGAAAGCGUGGGGAGCAAACAGGAUUAGAUACCCUAGUAGUC